RNAcentral lists this ribosomal RNA (253 nucleotides) under uncultured bacterium. RNAcentral's name for it is "partial 16S ribosomal RNA". It matches the Rfam family "Bacterial small subunit ribosomal RNA", at positions 524 to 776 of the family's 1533-position model. The record is from RNAcentral.
UACGGGGGGGGCAAGCGUUGUUCGGAAUUACUGGGCGUAAAGGGCUCGUAGGGGGCCAACUAAGUCAGACGUGAAAUCCCUCGGCUUAACCGGGGAACUGCGUCUGAUACUGGAUGGCUUGAGUUCGGGAGAGGGAUGCGGAAUUCCAGGUGUAGCGGUGAAAUGCGUAGAUAUCUGGAGGAACACCGGUGGCGAAGGCGGCAUCCUGGACCGACACCGACACUGAGGAGCGAAAGCCAGGGGAGCAAACGGG